UCCAUUCCGAACUCAGAAGUGAAACGAAAUAGCGCCGAUGGUAGUGUGGGGUUUCCCCAUGUGAGAGUAGGACAUCGCCAGGU
Molecule: ribosomal RNA, 83 nt
Filed under: Vibrio parahaemolyticus
Lineage: Bacteria; Pseudomonadati; Pseudomonadota; Gammaproteobacteria; Vibrionales; Vibrionaceae
Also listed under: 1 other name
Source: RNAcentral